AGAACGCACAUUAAUUAUCCCUAGGACCAUGUGAUAAACAAAAAUCCUACAAAACCAAGUUAGCACACCCUAGAAUGGUUUUAGCACGAUUACUAUAUGGCUUUGAUACUAAUUGAUGGGAAAAACCC
This 128-nucleotide microRNA precursor is filed under the name Vitis vinifera (wine grape). Its description in RNAcentral is "MIR845_2 microRNA precursor family". It matches the Rfam family "MIR845_2 microRNA precursor family". The record is from Rfam by way of RNAcentral. Lineage: Eukaryota; Viridiplantae; Streptophyta; Magnoliopsida; Vitales; Vitaceae.